RNAcentral lists this ribosomal RNA (500 nucleotides) under uncultured soil bacterium. Its description in RNAcentral is "bacterial SSU rRNA". It matches the Rfam family "Bacterial small subunit ribosomal RNA", at positions 26 to 526 of the family's 1533-position model. The record is from RNAcentral.
AGAUUGAACGCUGGCGGUAGGCCUAACACAUGCAAGUCGAGCGCGAAAGUGCCUUCGGGUGCGAGUAGAGCGGCGGACGGGUGCGUAACGCGUAGGAGUCUGCCUGGUAGUGGGGGAUAACUCGGGGAAACUCGAGCUAAUACCGCAUACGCCCCAUGGGGGAAAGCGGGGGACCUUCGGGCCUCGCGCUAUCAGAUGAGCCUGCGUCGGAUUAGCUAGUUGGUAGGGUAAUGGCCUACCAAGGCGACGAUCCGUAGCUGGUCUGAGAGGAUGAUCAGCCACACUGGGACUGAGACACGGCCCAGACUCCUACGGGAGGCAGCAGUGGGGAAUAUUGGACAAUGGGGGCAACCCUGAUCCAGCCAUACCGCGUGUGUGAAGAAGGCCUUCGGGUUGUAAAGCACUUUCAGUGGGAGGAAAGUUGCCGGCGAUACCCGGCGACCGUGACGCUACCUGCCAGAAGAAGCACCGGCAAACUCCGUGCCAGCAGCCGCGAACUC